UACAGAGGUCCCAAGCGUUGUUCGGAUUCACUGGGCUUAAAGAGUCCGUAGGCGGCAUGUUAGGUGAGGUGUGAAAUCCCCCGGCUCAACCGAGGAAUUGCGCUUCAAACCGGCGUGCUUGAGGAAGAUAGAGGUGGGCGGAACUGAUGGUGGAGCGGUGAAAUGCGUUGAUAUCAUCAGGAACACCGGAGGCGAAGGCGGCCCACUGGGUCUUUUCUGACGCUGAGGGACGAAAGCUAGGGGAGCGAACGGG
This 253-nucleotide ribosomal RNA is filed under the name uncultured bacterium. RNAcentral's name for it is "partial 16S ribosomal RNA". It matches the Rfam family "Bacterial small subunit ribosomal RNA", at positions 524 to 776 of the family's 1533-position model. The record is from RNAcentral.